Molecule: ribosomal RNA, 497 nt
Filed under: uncultured bacterium
Lineage: Bacteria
Description: partial 16S ribosomal RNA
Rfam family: Bacterial small subunit ribosomal RNA
Source: RNAcentral
GACGAACGCUGGCGGCGUGCCUAAUACAUGCGAGUAGAACGCUGAAGAGAGGAGCUUGCUCUUCUUGGAUGAGUUGCGAACGGGUGAGUAACGCGUAGGUAACCUGCCUGGUAGCGGGGGAUAACUAUUGGAAACGAUAGCUAAUACCGCAUAAAAUGGAUUAUCGCAUGAUAAUCCAUUGAAAGGUGCAAAUGCAUCACUACCAGAUGGACCUGCGUUGUAUUAGCUAGUUGGUGGGGUAACGGCUCACCAAGGCGACGAUACAUAGCCGACCUGAGAGGGUGAUCGGCCACACUGGGACUGAGACACGGCCCAGACUCCUACGGGAGGCAGCAGUAGGGAAUCUUCGGCAAUGGACGGAAGUCUGACCGAGCAACGCCGCGUGAGUGAAGAAGGUUUUCGGAUCGUAAAGCUCUGUUGUAAGAGAAGAACGAGUGUGAGAGUGGAAAGUUCACACUGUGACGGUAGCUUACCAGAAAGGGACGGCUAACUACGUG